AAACAGAUUCGGAUGUCAUUUAAAACUGUCAAGAUGACCAACAAGGAAGGUGUGUUCUUGGAUAUUGAUUUAUUAUUUAUGUUUUUAGAUCUUUAUUUUUAGUCGACGGCGAGCAAGCUUGCGAUCCGCGGCUUGCAGCUAUGUUAGCAGCCCAUCUUGUCAGUCAGGUUUUAGAUGAAGCUUUUGUGAUAGCUAAUGCUACUGCUGAGAAGGGUGAAAAGGGUCAUCCGUGGCAUUAUCAGUCAAUGUUGAAAAAUUUUGAGAGUGAUAAACAGUGUGAUGCUGAUGAUGAAGACACAUCGUUCGAGGCGUCAAAGGGCGACAGUGACAUCGUGAAUGAAAAUAAGAUAGAGCAUGUUGCCAAUGUAGUUGCUUCAUCGACGCCGGAAAAAGUUACAGAUGAUUUACAAAAAAAUAAGCCAGAGCCUAAUCUCAUCGGGCAAGGAGACGAAGAGCUUGAUUUGCGUCAAAAUGAGUUAACGAAAUCCACGUCAAUGUUUAUCAAUCAUCUUUUUGACAUGAGUGAGGUUGAAAAAGUAAUAAUAUUCGAUGAUACCGAAAUUAUGCAAAAUAAUUCGGAGCCAAAUGAGUUGCUCACUGAAGCAAUGAACAAAAUUAUGGAGUCGUAUGUGAACACGGCGUUGGGUAUGACAAUGGAGCAGCCUUCACAUUCGAUGGCGGGAAUGACGUCGGUGCUGGUGGAGAAAACAGAAAACAGCCCUGAACCUUCCGAGUAUUCGUUUUUGACAGAUGCUUUUGCAGAGGACAUCAGUAAAGAUGUUGCAUUUUAUAUACAUGACGAUGGAUCUGGUGAUAUUGAUAGAAGCAGUGCACGUUCUCAUCUUGUUCCCAAUGUAGAAAUAAGAGAGCUUUGUGAAGACGAUAUCCCUGAGAAAUUAGUCGAGAGUAAUGACGUUGCACGAUAUGAAAAUGCAUUCCUUAGUUUGAAUCGUGAUUAUGAACAAAAUUCCGAAGAUGAGGUGGAUCCUAUAUUAGAAGAUCCAAAAGGUAUGACUCUCCAAGAAGUGGAAUUAAUGACUGCUGAUACGUCUGAAGAAAAUUUAUCAACUAAUCGUGAUGAAGAAUCUCACAUUUGUCCAAUGAUGAAGGAGUUAGUAGCAGCAGAAUCAGGAGUGUCUGCAGUGCCAAGUGGGUCUAAAAAAAGUUCGCUCGUCAGUAGGUGCCGCUCUCAAGGCGCGAGGCUCCUGGCUUGCAUCCGAGGAUGGUGGCGACGCAGGACUCCCGGGAAACGCAAGGAGAAUCGGGUGCCGUUUGCUGCUCGUGGUUUAUGUCCGUUAUCUCCGGAUGCUAGACGUAGAGCUGCAAGUCUUUUGGAUCAACGUCUUCUUCGGUCGCCCUCACCCAGCCGAGAUGUCGUCUGGAAGUUUAACACGGUCAACGAGUCGUUCGUCCAUUCUUCACGUUGGAAGGGCUAUACUUUCGAUGUAAAACCUGAUGAGUGCGGCGAGUACUGACUGUCUUACCACGAAAUCGGUCAAAUCUAUCUGUUUAUCCUAUUUGGUUCAUCUUGUGACAAUAAAGGUGUACUGUGUGUCCGACGACGCUAUGGAAACGGACCAACUCCGCCGAAAAUAGAACGGUCGCGGAUUCCUGGGCUAAAUCUCAAAUAUCCAGACGGGUGCGCCAUCUAAGCCAGUUAAAACAGUCCCGCGAAAAGUUACCGAGCCCC
RNA transcript from Spodoptera frugiperda (fall armyworm), 1690 nucleotides. RefSeq lists it as uncharacterized. The record is from RefSeq and is a predicted model, not a curated record. The transcript is spliced from 10 exons. Lineage: Eukaryota; Metazoa; Arthropoda; Insecta; Lepidoptera; Noctuidae.